CCUACGGGAGGCAGCAGUAGGGAAUUUUCGUCAAUGGGCGCAAGCCUGAACGAGCAAUGCCGCGCGAACGAGGGAGGUCUUCGGAUCGUAAAGUUCUGUUGAAGGGGAAAAAGAGCGGAGAUAGGAAAUGGUCUCCGAUUGAUAUUACCCUUCGAGGAAGUCACGGCUAACUACGUGCCAGCAGCCGCGGUAAUACGUAGGUUGCGUGCGUUAUCCGGAAGGAUUGGGCGUAAAGGAUGCGUAGGCGGCCUGCUAAGUCUGGAGUGAAAGGAACCGGCUCAACCGGAACAGGCUCUGGAAACUGG
RNAcentral lists this ribosomal RNA (305 nucleotides) under uncultured bacterium. RNAcentral's name for it is "bacterial SSU rRNA". It matches the Rfam family "Bacterial small subunit ribosomal RNA", at positions 338 to 636 of the family's 1533-position model. The record is from RNAcentral.